RNAcentral lists this ribosomal RNA (253 nucleotides) under uncultured bacterium. RNAcentral's name for it is "partial 16S ribosomal RNA". It matches the Rfam family "Bacterial small subunit ribosomal RNA", at positions 524 to 776 of the family's 1533-position model. The record is from RNAcentral.
UACAGAGGUCCCGAGCGUUGUUCGGAUUCAUUGGGCGUAAAGGGUGCGUAGGCGGCGGGGAAAGUCUGAUGUGAAAUCCUGGGGCUCAACCCUGGAACUGCAUUGGAUACUUCCUUGCUAGAGUACUGGAGAGGAAACUGGAAUUUACGGUGUAGCAGUGAAAUGCGUAGAUAUCGAGAGGAACACCUGCGGCGAAGGCGGGUUGCUGGGCUGACACUGACGCUGAUGCGCGAAAGCGUGGGGAGCAAACAGG